UACGAAGGGGGCUAGCGUUGUUCGGAAUUACUGGGCGUAAAGGGCGCGUAGGCGGGGAGGUAAGUCGGGUGUGAAAUCCCUCGGCCCAACUGAGGAACUGCGCCCGAGACUGCUUCUCUUGAGUCCCGGAGAGGAAGAUGGAAUUCCCGGUGUAGCGGUGAAAUGUGUAGAGAUCGGGAGGAACACCGGUGGCGAAGGCGGUCUUCUGGACGGUGACUGACGCUGAGGAGCGAAAGCGUGGGUAGCAAACAGG
Molecule: ribosomal RNA, 253 nt
Filed under: uncultured bacterium
Lineage: Bacteria
Description: partial 16S ribosomal RNA
Rfam family: Bacterial small subunit ribosomal RNA
Source: RNAcentral